Molecule: RNase P RNA, 334 nt
Filed under: Salinimicrobium sediminis
Lineage: Bacteria; Pseudomonadati; Bacteroidota; Flavobacteriia; Flavobacteriales; Flavobacteriaceae
Description: Bacterial RNase P class A
Rfam family: Bacterial RNase P class A
About the family: Ribonuclease P (RNase P) is a ubiquitous endoribonuclease, found in archaea, bacteria and eukarya as well as chloroplasts and mitochondria. Its best characterised activity is the generation of mature 5'-ends of tRNAs by cleaving the 5'-leader elements of precursor-tRNAs.
Source: Rfam by way of RNAcentral
CAAGCAGACCGCCUUAUCGCUGCCCCGUCCCGUUACAAUCGGGAGCGCGGGGUGGAGGAAAGUCCGGACACCAUAGGGCAGCAUAGUGGGUAACACCCACCGGCACUGAUGCAAAUCAGGGUCAGGACCAGUGCAACAGAAAGGAUGUACAGGUAAUGCUGUAGUGAAAUCAGGUAAACUCUAUGCGGUGCAAUGCCAUGUAUACCGGCUGUUAAGGAUUGCCCGUCCGUUGCCGGAGGGUAGGCAGCUAAAGGCUUUUGGUAACAAAAGUUUCAGAUAAAUGAUAAGGGCUCCUUUUGGAGAACAGAAUCCGGCUUACAGGUCUGCUUUUUUA